UACGAAGGGGGCUAGCGUUGUUCGGAAUCACUGGGCGUAAAGGGCGCGUAGGCGGCCGAUCAAGUCGGGGGUGAAAGCCUGUGGCUCAACCACAGAAUUGCCUUCGAUACUGUUUGGCUUGAGACCGGAAGAGGUUAGUGGAACUGCGAGUGUAGAGGUGAAAUUCGUAGAUAUCGGGAGGAACACCAGUGGCGAAGGCGACUACCUGGCCUGUUCUUGACGCUGAGGCGCGAAAGCUAGGGUAGCAAACGGG
RNAcentral lists this ribosomal RNA (253 nucleotides) under uncultured bacterium. RNAcentral's name for it is "partial 16S ribosomal RNA". It matches the Rfam family "Bacterial small subunit ribosomal RNA", at positions 524 to 776 of the family's 1533-position model. The record is from RNAcentral.